AAAAAUGUCACCCUGCGUUUUGGUGCCCACUUCUUUGUCUGGGAAGCAGAAGGCUGGGAUUCUGUCCGGACAGCCCCCUUUAAAGACCCAGACCCGGGAACGCCUCCGGUUUCAGCAGCUCACUCCGCUGAGUUAUUGACUGUAGGCAGCAGCAAUCCCUCAGGUUGAUUUGUGUGGAAAGUGAAUCCUCGCUGGCUAGGCGUUCAGCAGAGGCGCAACAGCCGCCGAGCCAGCCAAUUAUUGCCGGCCCUCCCCUCUAACACAGCUCUCGGUACCUACACAUUCUUCUCUGGGUCGGUCUCCCCCAACCCACUUUCCCGCGCGGACGGAGCUGAGGGGGCGGGGGGCUCCCUCCCCGGAGCGUUUCUAAAGCUCGGAGGCAGCUCUAGGGGUGUGACAGUCCACAUGUUUAAGUCUAAUAGAAGGCAAAAAAAUCACUGGAUAUGAAGUUGGGACACAGACCCAAGCCUGCAUCUACAUCCUCACAUUGAUGAUCUUAGGGCACCACUUUCAGAUAAAAACAUAGACCUGAAUGGCAUCAUCCAGUAUCCAAGGAAACCAUAAGAGAUGUGCCUGAGGUGAGUACCCUGGAACGUAAUCCACCAUGGCCAGGGUGCUGUACGUAGGAGCCUUCUAAUCUGCCAUGUCCAGAAGUAUGUGAAAAUCCAGGAUGGAGCUGAAUUAUAUCCUCCUGGUUCAUACCCAGAAGGUCUCUAAGACCACGAUGACAGGAAAAUCUUCAGUGGUUCGAGAGACAAGCUGCUGGAAAUCCUGCACAUUUGUUCUAGAAGGAAGUGAGCUGAUAAGGAGAAUGAUCCCUUCUGAGAGAUCACCUCUUUUAAAAACUUUUAAAGGACUCCAAAUUAAGCCAUGUCCAUUUCUGGGACCCAUUUCCAUAUCCAUAUGACAAAAGCCAGUGUCACUUGCUUAAUGUUAGGUGAUUUCAAAAGCCUUCAUAAAGAGAGAGCAAAGGUGGGGAGGGAGAUAGUGAAUUGUGAGAACCUGUCAAAUAAUGGGACAUCUCUUUCAUUCCAAGCAUCAUGUUCUAUUUCACUUUGUAUUAUGAUUUAAGAAAAAGGAGAGAAAAAUGUGUCUUUUUUAAAAAAGGUAUUUUUUGCUAUUAAUAUUCAGUACUUCAUAUCUGAGUACUGAUCCAUCAUUCAUUACGUCUAGGGUAGAUCACAACCUAAUUUACAAAUUCAAAAGCGUAAGUCAGAUCAACUGCUCAAGGCCAUAUAUUUGCAAGAUAGAAUAUGCACUGAAAAUUUCCUGUCCUUGGACUGGUGUACUAGGCAAUGCUGGUUUUCUGUAAGAAUUUGUUCAUAUCUUAGAUUUAACUCAAUUUUGCUUAUCAGUUGAAAAUGUUCAACUUACAUCCACUUAUGUAAUGUAAAGUGUAAAUUUGAGCAGUGAUCUAGAAAGUUCAGGGCAAAGUAGUUUAAAUCAUUUGGCUCUUCCUAGAGGUUCUGAUUUUUUUCUUAACCUAAAAAAAUAGUUAAUUAUGUGAUAGCUUUAGAUCUGAAAUAUAUCUGACACGUUAUUUUUAUUUGUUUGGUUUUCAGAAAUCAUAUCCAUAUUUUCUACUCUGUAGUCUUUAGCAAAAUGAAUCAAAGCCACUCUGUACCCAAAGCUAACACCAGUGUUAUCUUUUUUUUUUUUUAAACAUUGCAGGGCUUUACCUCAAGUGCUAUGCAGUAAAUUUACAGGGAAAGAAAAUUUCUAUUAAAUUAUAACUGAGAGAAGCUGAUUUUAUUUUACAUAGCAAACAAAAAAUUCCUUCAUGAAAGGCUAUAAAACCCGUAUUAUUUACUGGAGAGACCUUUCCUGUCUCCCAGGUAAACACUUACAGUGUGUAGACUUGUGUAAAUACAUAUUUAGGAGUGGCUAAAUAUGGUGAGGUAUUUUUAAAGGCAUAUUUACAAAGCUGAAUACAUAUACUGGCAAUUUGGUAUGUGUGAGCUGUGUAUGCUGCUCUGCUGUCUAUUCAGAAUCCUAGCAGGGCGCGGGUAGGUACACCUUGGAUAUAGGGACCAAGUUUCAAAACAUUCAUCUUUAAUCAAAAUUACUAAAGACAGGUCCUUAAAUCAUUUCAAAAGGGUGAAAAUUUUCAACUAAUGGAGUUUCUUGUCAGUUUGACUUGAGGAAAAUUGUUUCAGAAAUGCAGGCAUCGUUCACAGAAAUAAAUCUCCUUUCUGAACAUCUUUGUGCAUAACAUAACCAUCAUUUUACAUUCAGCUCAGAAUAUUAGCACAUACUCAAAGAUACAGUCCAUGAUGAAUGAAUCAACUAGGAAGUUUUAGUUAAGGCGGAAAAUGCCAUUAAGAUGUUUUUAAAAAUACUUCUGAAACACACGGAAAUGUAGGUGAUAAAAUCUGCCUGUUGUUAAUUCAAUGGCAGGAAGCUUCCUAUGAUAAUGCAGCGAAACUCCGUCUACAGGAUUCACAGUGUCUUUGUGCUGCUGGCUUCUUGGGAAUGUGUUCUCUAUGAGGAAGAGAAUGAGAUAGGAACAGAGAGGUUGUAGGUGCAUGAAAGAACACUAACUGUGCCUCCGCUGUCUGCUGUCCCUCAGAAUGAAUAAGGAUCCCAUUUGCGUAAAAGCCCUUUUAAAGAUGGAGAAGUUGAGAGCUUGGCUAUCUCGUAUCUUUUGCUAAGAAGUCUAAACAAUGCUUCUGUUUCAUUUCUAAUGCAAUAUACAGCUAUUUUUAAAUACUCUCAAUAUCUUGCAAUGGGAUUAUUGAAAAUCUUAUAAUGGUAAGCUAUACGAGGGACAAAAACCAUUCAGACUAUUCAGGGAAAUAAUUUCUCCAAUAAAAUUUGCACUGAAAUGAGGUUUUUUUUUAACAUUACAGAAAUAUACAUCACAUGUAAAUAUUUUUUCCCAAAGUACAAAUGCCACAAAUUUUGAUUAAACAUUCUGUGUUCUAAAACUUUAAAUAUCACCUUAAUUUAAAAUAUUAUUCUAGUGCUAUAAGGCCUCUGGAGUGUAGAAGCUUAUAAUAAAAUUGCUGACACAAUUUUAUCUUUAACUGUGAAUGGGUUCACUCUAUACAUAUUACUUAUACCAGUAUUUUAGCAAACAAGCUUUCCUAGCAAAAGACAAUCUUCCUUUAAUUUUUUUUUUUAAGAUACGAGCAGGCAGAAACACCUUUGCCUUAAAAUUUUUAUUAGUUUUAUCCCAUCUUUAAUUUUAUUCUGUGGCUAAGUAUAUCAUUUCCAUGUAAACUUCCAUUAGGAACACAAAUUGCUGACACCACAUCUACCGACAGAAAUGCCACAACAUAAAUUACACCAAGAAAAUGCCGCUUUGGGUGGAGGGCAUGGCAAAGAGAACUAAGCUAGAUAAAAAGCCACUGUGUUACUGCCCAGCCUGCAACCCUGUCCCGCUGACCACUGAUAAAAUUUAUCACAGGGCCACAAACGGGAAGGCAACUUAAAGAAGAGCCAUCUGUGGUAAAACGUGUAACAGCAAAACAGCUAAUGGAGCAUUAUUACUUUAUUGGAAAGCAGUAUCUCUGGAUGCUUCACUUUUCCAGCUUUAGCAAGAAUAUGAAUUGUUCUUCUAUAUGCAUAAGAGCUGAUAUGAAAAAGGAGUUGACAGACCUCUGAAUGGUGGCAAUAGGUGCCUCCGAGGCUCACCAGUUCACCACUCUCUGUCCGGGUUGCUUAAUCAGCAGAGGAGUAAACGAGUUCCAACAAAGUUAAAACCGAUCUGAAUCUUCAUUAUUAAAAGAAUGCUGACGUAGAAUGUUAAUGGUCACCUUAUAAAGAAGCAGUCUUGUAAAUUCUGGCUAAUUAUUGUCAUCAUAAUUCAGCCCUGGCAUUAGUAGAAAGUGUAACUAUGUAAAUACCACCAAUAAAAGGCAUCUAGUUUACCAAAAA
Vicugna pacos (alpaca) is the source of this 3879-nucleotide non-coding RNA. The record is from RefSeq and is a predicted model, not a curated record. Lineage: Eukaryota; Metazoa; Chordata; Mammalia; Artiodactyla; Camelidae.